Oncorhynchus masou masou (cherry salmon) is the source of this 2410-nucleotide RNA transcript. It is a transcript of the gene named FUN14 domain-containing protein 1-like, with no coding region annotated. NCBI's taxonomy places the organism in Eukaryota, Metazoa, Chordata, Actinopteri, Salmoniformes, Salmonidae. The record is from RefSeq and is a predicted model, not a curated record. The transcript is spliced from 2 exons.
UGGUGGAGCAUGAUGUUUGGGAAUAACUCUGGUCCCCUCGAAGAUAAAUACUCUGUGACCACGCAGAUUGUGAUGGGAGGGGUCACUGGCUGAUAGCGAAUCACAGUGGCUAUGUGCAGGUGGACUGGAAGAAAGUGGAGAAGGACGUGAACAAAGCAAAGAAACACCUGAAGAAGAGAACCAAGCAAGCAGCCCCUGAAAUGAACUCCUUCUUUGAGGAGGUAAAGGUAGUAAUAACACUGCCUGACUAAUCAUAACUUUAUGGCUAUUGUGCCUAUAGUAUUUUGAUUCUAAAAGGUGAACAUGUCUGAGAUGUGUGCGUGCUCAUUGGUCCUUUAUUUAACUGUUCAUUUAUUCUGUGAGACCAACACUGGUACCUGGGUGUGGGAGCUGCUUUUUGAUUCAAUUGGAUUGCCAGUCCGCUUGAAUCUCAGUGCCUUGCAUUGCAUGUACUUAUGAGGAAAAAAAGGUAUAGUUAAUUAUCAUAUUUUGGGGGAAAUAGCUAAGUUCAUAAAUACCUGAGUCAUCCGUAGCCAUUUGAUGGACUAAUAAUGCAGCAACAGCGCCCUCUAGCGAACUCACACUGUAAAAGCACAUUCCUGGAUUUAUCACAAGCAGAAACAAAAGUAUACCCUGCGUAUAUGAUUCUUAUUUUUCCAUCUAUUAUCACUUAUAACCCUUCAGUUAUUGGAGGUGACCUCCCACAGUCUGCUUGUUUUCUCUCCUCCUUCCCCUCUCUGCAGGCCACAGAGUUUGUCAAGAAGAACAUUGUCCUGUCCAGCGGGUUUGUGGGUGGAUUCCUCCUGGGCUUGGCCUCCUAAUGGCGUUGGGGCCAAUUCACGACUGAGGAAGUCGUUACAUCGGAAGAAGAAAGCUGUCACUGUGAACUGAAUCUCCACACGGGAUGUUGUCAUUAACUGUGAAUCGUUGUCUUUCUCCCAGCACAGAACUAGUCAUGAAACGGGUUUGGGAGGAGGCUGAACAUGUGAAGCUGCCACUUUAUGCCCCCCUGGCUGCUCUCUUCCAUUACUGCCCAACUGAUCAGAGUCGAGCUUGUCCACCCUCUUUUUAUUCUAUUUAUCUGGUGGUUUCUGAUCCAGGAUCAGUUGUUUGGGCCUGUUGAAUAUGACAUUUUUAUACUUCAUAAUCAGCACUACCCCCAACAUCAAUGUAUGUGAAAAUGUCACGUUUCUAUGUUUUGAAUCAGCUAUAUUAUAUAUAUAUUUGUUCACUGUCAUAUGGUGUGCAUCAUGUGAUUUGAAUCAAUCACUGAGCAAUGCCUACUCAUAACUGGUUGAAAUCAUGAUGCACACCGGAUGAUGCCAUUACAGAAACUAAUUUUGACUUCAAAACAUAGAAACAUGACAUUUUCACAUAUGUUGAUGUUAUGGUAGUUCUGGAGAUGAUGAAUAUAAUGUUGAAAAUGUUAGAAAUGUCCCUUUAAGUGCACAACGCAACACCUCUUGAUACACUAUGAUAUACUGUACCACACACUGGACAUAGGAUUACUCGGCCCCUGUCUAUCUGGUGCACUCUUUUACCUGGAAGAACAGGUCUAGGAUCAGGAAUGUGUCCCAAAUGCCCAUAGUGCACUACAUUUGACCAGAGCCCUAUGUAGGAAAUAGGGUGCCAUUUGGGACACUGGCCAGCUCUCCCUAUACUCAGACCAAAGUUUUACCACCAUGUGCUAUUCAACAAAAGGUGUCUGCAGACCUGUUGUUACGGGCUUAAUAUACCAACACCUGAUCACUGCACCUUUGCUGGCUAAUGUACUGUAGGUAUAUCUGUGUGCAGAUUAGCGUUUUUCAUAAAGAAUCUUGUUCUGGGGGCAGCUCUGCAGAAUGGUCACUAGCUGGCACAGCCACAAAAUCUGAUUUUAAAUCUAACUGUAACCACACUGUUAACCCUAACGCCUAACCUUAAAUUUAGACCAAAAAGUUAAAUGUAGUUUUCAUGAAUUUUUACAAUCUAGCCAAUUCUGACUUUGCAGCUGGCCUAUCUAGCAGAUUCGCUUAGUUCUGCCUCCAGGACAAGACUCAUUCCAAAAAAUGUGAACCUGCUAUCAGUGUAGUAAUAGGAAAACAUGUGAUUUAGUCAUGUGUAGAAUAUACUAUCAGUUUUAUAGAUAGAAGGAAAUGCACAGUAUAAAGUCAGUGUUCAGUUGCUUAUGAGUUGUUCCAUAUUGUGUCUUUAACUAUUAAAUAUUCCUUGUCAGGAGUAUGAUUUUCCAUUAGUUUCUGUACUUCACCAAGUGCACAUUAACUUCUUACUGCCAUUAACCUCUAUAUGUUCUGACCUCCUGAAUGCUGUUUUGAAAUCUUGAUAACCAACCAACCAUAACUAUGGAUUUGUCUUAUGUUUCUGUUUUGUCAAAUAAAGUUGCCUGAUUUUUGUUGGUUAGCAAUGUUAA